This 199-nucleotide ribosomal RNA is filed under the name Limnospira indica. RNAcentral's name for it is "partial 23S ribosomal RNA". The record is from RNAcentral. Lineage: Bacteria; Bacillati; Cyanobacteriota; Cyanophyceae; Oscillatoriales; Sirenicapillariaceae.
CUCUCCUUUAAUUAGGUGCUAGUUGGGGUGAGGUAGUCUUGAAUUGAGAAAUUGAGAGUUGGUGACUGUACAGCUCCUAAGUCUGUAGAUGUUAAUCUAGGACUAGAUAGCUGGACAUAAGUUCCAGUCAGAACCUUGAAAACUGCAUAGAGAAAAGCAUAAUGGUGUAGGAAAACGUCGUAAAGACAAUUCCAAUGUA